GGAAUUACGUGGGACGUAAAGCGCAUGCAGGUGGUUUGUUAAGUCAGAUGUAGAAACGGCCCGGGGCUACAACCGUACGGUAAUUGCUAUUUAGAAACGUGGACAAACUAGAGUACUGUAGAGGGGGUAGAAUUUCAGGUGUAGCGGUGAAAUGCGUAGAGAUCUGAAGGAAUACCGGUGGCGAAGGCGGCCCCCUGGACAGAUACUGACACUCAGAUGCGAAAGCGUGGGGAGCAAACAGGAUUAGAUACCCUGGUAG
RNAcentral lists this ribosomal RNA (259 nucleotides) under uncultured bacterium. RNAcentral's name for it is "partial 16S ribosomal RNA". It matches the Rfam family "Bacterial small subunit ribosomal RNA", at positions 556 to 793 of the family's 1533-position model. The record is from RNAcentral.